This is a non-coding RNA of Carica papaya (papaya), 628 nucleotides long. The record is from RefSeq and is a predicted model, not a curated record. Lineage: Eukaryota; Viridiplantae; Streptophyta; Magnoliopsida; Brassicales; Caricaceae.
UAGAGCCUGGUCCUAUUGUGCAACUGGGUUGCGGAACAAUCUCAGGAGCUCUUGGGGCAACAUGUGUUUACCCAUUGCAAGUUAUCAGGACCAGAAUGCAAGCUCAACCGGCAAAUACAGCUACAGCAUAUAAGGGGAUGUCUGAUGUAAUCUGGAGAACGUUUAAGAAAGAAGGUUAUAGGGGUUUCUACAAGGGACUUUUUCCAAACCUGCUGAAGGUUGUGCCCGCAGCAAGCAUUACAUAUUUGGUUUAUGAAGCCAUGAAAAAGAGCCUAGACCUGUGAGUGGGUCUGAGUUGAGUUAGGGGAGGGUUAAGGGUGCUGGAUGUUGAUGAUGAAAAAAAGAAACGAAGAAUAAGAUGAUUUGAGUAAAAGAAUUAGGUGAUACGCAUGAGAUUAUUUUUGAGGUAGAUGAUGAUAUUUCCUCUGGAGAAUAUGAGGACACAUAAUUUUGUAGUCAAAUAAUUCUUUUCUUUUACGGGGUUUAUCUGAAUUAAAAUGUUGAGAAAAACAAGGUUAAUUUGGAAUAAUUAUUGUCUGACUGUGAAGUGAUUAGGGUAUAGUCAGUUUUCUUCUCUGUUUACAAUUUGUCUCUACAAUGAAUACAAGAGAUGCAGCAUUUAUCUGAA